CGCCCGAUCUCGUCUGAUCUCGGAAGCUAAGCAGGGUCGGGCCUGGUUAGGAUCUUGGAUGGGAGACCACCUGGGAAUCCCGGGU
RNAcentral lists this ribosomal RNA (85 nucleotides) under Bison bison bison. Lineage: Eukaryota; Metazoa; Chordata; Mammalia; Artiodactyla; Bovidae. The record is from RNAcentral.